AGAGUUUGAUCCUGGCUCAGGAUGAACGCUAGCGGCAGGCCUAAUACAUGCAAGUCGAACGGUAACAUGAGAGCUUGCUCUUGAUGACGAGUGGCGCACGGGUGCGUAACGCGUAUGCAACCUACCCUUUACUGGGGGAUAGCCCGGAGAAAUCCGGAUUAAUACCCCAUGGUACCAUAGUAUAGCAUUAUAUAGUGGUUAAAGAUUUAUUGGUAAAGGAUGGGCAUGCGUGACAUUAGUUAGUUGGUAAGGUAACGGCUUACCAAGACGAUGAUGUCUAGGGGUUCUGAGAGGAAGGUCCCCCACACCGGUACUGAGACACGGACCAGACUCCUACGGGAGGCAGCAGUAGGGAAUAUUGGUCAAUGGACGCAAGUCUGAACCAGCCAUGCCGCGUGCAGGAUGACAGCUUUCUGAGUUGUAAACUGCUUUUAUAUAGGAACAAAUAGGCCAUGCGUGGCAAGUUGCGUGUACUAUAUGAAUAAGCACCGCUAACU
This 497-nucleotide ribosomal RNA is filed under the name uncultured bacterium. RNAcentral describes it as "bacterial SSU rRNA". It matches the Rfam family "Bacterial small subunit ribosomal RNA", at positions 8 to 502 of the family's 1533-position model. The record is from RNAcentral.